GGAUUAGAUACCCUGGUAGUCCACGCCGUAAACGAUGUGAGCUAGUUGUCGGGCAGUUUACUGUUCGGUGACGCACCUAACGGAUUAAGCUCACCGCCUGGGGAGUACGGUCGCAAGAUUAAAACUCAAAGGAAUUGACGGGGACCCGCACAAGCGGUGGAGCAUGUUGUUUAAUUCGAAGCAACGCGAAGAACCUUACCUACCCUUGACAUCCUGGUCGGGGAUUACAGAGAUGUUUUCCUUCGGUUCGGCCGGACCAGUGACAGGUGCUGCAUGGCUGUCGUCAGCUCGUGCCG
This 296-nucleotide ribosomal RNA is filed under the name uncultured bacterium. RNAcentral's name for it is "partial 16S ribosomal RNA". It matches the Rfam family "Bacterial small subunit ribosomal RNA", at positions 775 to 1067 of the family's 1533-position model. The record is from RNAcentral.